This 333-nucleotide long non-coding RNA is filed under the name Olea europaea (common olive). RNAcentral describes it as "long non-coding RNA (OEUR_LNC014299)". Lineage: Eukaryota; Viridiplantae; Streptophyta; Magnoliopsida; Lamiales; Oleaceae. The record is from RNAcentral.
UUUGCUCAUCAACUCCUCCACUUGCUUUUGAAGCUCCUUCGUCUCCUCGGGAUUGCUUCGGUAAGCUGGUCGAUUCGGUAUGACAGCUCCGGGUACAAAGUCAAUCUGGUGCUCGAUGUCUCUGAUUGGUGGCAAUCCACUUGGCAUCUCCUCAGGAAACACAUCGUCGAACUCCUGCAAUAAAAACUUAACCAAACUAGGGAGGGAUGUGUUAGAAUCCUCAAAAUUGAGGAGGGACUCCUUGUACACUAACAAUAUCAUUUGCCUAUUAUCGCUCAUAGCCUUUUUCAACUCACUCUCUUUUGUAUAGAAGUUGACCUUUGGCUUUUCUCU